CUCGUAGGUGGCCAACUAAGUCAUACGUGAAAUCCCUCAGCUUAACUGGGGAAUUGCGUCUGAUACUGGAUGGCUUGAGUUUGGGAGAGGGAUGCGGAAUUCCAGGUGUAGCGGUGAAAUGCGUAGAUAUCUGGAGGAACACCGGUGGCGAAGGCGGCAUCCUGGACCAAUACUGACACUGAGGAGCGAAAGCCAGGGGAAGCAAACG
This 208-nucleotide ribosomal RNA is filed under the name uncultured bacterium. RNAcentral describes it as "partial 16S ribosomal RNA". It matches the Rfam family "Bacterial small subunit ribosomal RNA", at positions 568 to 774 of the family's 1533-position model. The record is from RNAcentral.